This 425-nucleotide ribosomal RNA is filed under the name uncultured bacterium. Its description in RNAcentral is "bacterial SSU rRNA". It matches the Rfam family "Bacterial small subunit ribosomal RNA", at positions 354 to 796 of the family's 1533-position model. The record is from RNAcentral.
GUUAGGAAUAUUGGACAAUGGACGCAAGUCUGAUCCAGCCAUGCCGCGUGAGUGAUGAAGGCCUUCGGGUUGUAAAGCUCUUUAGCCGAUGAUUAUAAUGACUGUAGUCGGAAAAUAAGCCCCGGCUAACUUCGUGCCAGCAGCCGCGGUAAUACGAAGGGGGCGAGCGUUAUUCGGAAUCACUGGGCGUAAAGCGUGCGUAGGCGGUUUUGUAAGUUGGGAGUGAAAGCCCAGGGCUCAACCCUGGAAUUGCUCUCAAAACUACAAGACUUGAAUUCGGGAGAGGAUAGCGGAAUUGUCAGUGUAGCAGUGAAAUGCGUAGAUAUUGACAGGAACACCAGUGGCGUAAGCGGCUAUCUGGACCGACAUUGACGCUGAGGCACGAAAGCGUGGGGAUCAAACAGGAUUAGAUACCCCGGUAGUCC